GGUAUUCGGCCAGCAGGUUGGCGGCUGCUUUUCACCUGUUUCCCCAGCACAGCGUGACCUCGUUCAGUAGGUAAGUGCUAUACUGAUCAAUAGAAGCCAUGGAUGACUGGAGAGACAAGCAACAAAAUAGACUAAAAGGAAAAACGUGCAAAAAGCACACAUCCCAACAACUGGGAAAAACAAAAGGAACAAAAGGCGACAAAAUAAUAGUUCCCUGUUGCGUUUUUUCCAGCACCUAGCAAUAUAUUGCUUUGAAUAAUCUGUCAAAGUCCUACUGAUUCAAGAGACACCCCUUUAUUAGACUGGAAGCUGUACGUGAUACACCAGAGACAUAAACAGUCCAGAUAAACAAUUCAUUAAAAUAUCAACAGCAGAAAGUAAUCAAGUAGGCUAGGCUACUCAUCUUACUGUGUCGAGGGAUGAAAUAUGAAAAGACGACACCAUAUUUCAGCUAUACAAAGACCUGGUUUGAACAUACUGGCAGUACUGUAAGCAGUUCUGGGUACCAUAGCUUAUAAAGAUACAACAGCCUUGGAAGAAAUGGAAUUUAGAUUUACCAGAAUGAUUCUAAAAUGGUAGAUUAAGAGUAGCACAUGCUCAAAGAACAAAACAGCACAGAAACAGACCAGACCAUUUAGCCUGCCAAGCCUGCACCAACACAUUUUGCCCUUCCAUACUAAAACUGUCUUCAUUUACAGGAUCCAUAUCCCUCUACUCCAUUGCUAUCCAUGUAUUCAUCCAGGUGCUUCUUGAAUACUGCUAUUAUGUCUGCUUCCACCACCUCCUUUGGUAGCGCGUUCCAGGCACUCACCACUCUUAGUGGAAAAAAUUUGCCUCGUGCAUCUGCUUUAAACCCCGUCUACGCCACCUAAUCUUGAACCUCUGUCUCUAGUGAUUGAUGCCUCCAUACAGGGGAAAAAGCCUCAUACUUUCUACUCUAUCCAUGCCAUUCACAAUCUGAAGCAGUGCAAGAUAGUGGAUAUAGACACAUCCCUCCCUCAUGAGCUCAAUGCUUUCUAUGUUCGGUUUGAGCAGAAUGCCAGCGACACAGUCAUGCCAGUCCCAACAGCCACGGACAUGCCUGUUCCCUCUGUCAUUGCUUCAGAUGUUAUCAGUCUCCUGGGAAUCAACCCAAGGAAAGCGAUGGGCCUGGAUGGUGUCCCUAGCUGAGGACUCGGAUCCUUUGUUGACUAAAUGGCAGAGGUAUUCAACAACAUCUUCAACCUGUCCCUCCUACAAACCAAAGUCCUCACCUACUUCAAGAAGAACACUAUCAUCCCUAUCCCUAAGAAAGUACGUGCAAUAUGCCUUAAUGACUACUGUCCAGUGGCUUGGACUUCAAUAAUCAUGAACAAAAACUGAAGUUGCUGGAAGCUCAACAGAUCUGGCAGCAUCUCAGAAGAAAAAAUAUCAGAGUUAACACUUCGGGUCCAGUGACUGAGCUUCCAGCAACUUCUGUUUUUGUUCCUGAUUUGCAGCAUCUGCAGGUCUUUUGGUUUUUAUUCAAUAACCAUGAAGUGCUUUGACAGGCCAGUCAUGCCCACAUCAACUCCAGUAUCCCAGCCGACCUCAAUCCCCUACAGUUUACCUACCGAUGUAAGAGGUCCACAGAGGAAGCCAUAUCCCUAGCCCUGCAUUCAUCCCUGGAAUAUCUGGACAUCGAAGAUAUCUAGGUCAUUCUUGUCGACUACAGCUCUGCCUUUAACAGCAAUAUCCCCUCCAGACCGAUCUCAAAACUGCGUGACCUUGUCUCGGUUCCACUCUCUGCAACUGGAUCCUCAGACUGCAAGUCAGUGAGUAUAGGUAAGUGCACCUCCUCCGCAAUAACACUCAACACUGGAGCCCCCCCCAAGAAUGCAUCCCUACUGUACUUCCUGUACACCUACGAUGGUGUUGCGAAAUUCUGAACAAACACCAUCUACAAGUUCGCUGAUGACACCACAAUAGUGGGACAGAUUUCUAACAACUAUGAGUCAACCUAAAGAAGGGAGAUGGAGAGCUUGAUAAUGUAGUGCAUUGAAAACAAUGUGUCUCUUAACGUUGGCAAAACUAAAGAACUGACACAAGGUGUAGAG
This is a long non-coding RNA of Stegostoma tigrinum, 2075 nucleotides long. RefSeq lists it as uncharacterized. The transcript is spliced from 3 exons. The record is from RefSeq and is a predicted model, not a curated record. Lineage: Eukaryota; Metazoa; Chordata; Chondrichthyes; Orectolobiformes; Stegostomatidae.